This is a long non-coding RNA of Drosophila willistoni, 503 nucleotides long. RefSeq lists it as uncharacterized. The record is from RefSeq and is a predicted model, not a curated record. The transcript is spliced from 2 exons. Lineage: Eukaryota; Metazoa; Arthropoda; Insecta; Diptera; Drosophilidae.
CAUAUUCACCUGCCUUGAACUCUCACUCAAAAUGAAUAGUAUAGAACACACACACACAGAGACACAGAGAUACAUUAGCAGGCGUGUGUAUUAAAUUCAUAAAAUGUAAAAUCCAACUGGCAUUCAACCGAACAGAUCAUUUGAAAGUAAAACGAAAAGGCUCCAAAACGAUUUUCAACAAGCAAAAAAGAUUAAAUUUUAUAAAAAAAAGGAUUACAAUGCCUGAAGUACCGAAACCAACUGUGAAUAAGUCCAAAGACUUGACAGAAGAUGCCAAAGUUGGUAAGAGAAUUAUGAAACCCUUACCGGUAAUACGUCCACAAUUGGCCAAUCAACACGACCGGAUUUGGAAACUCAUGAAAAUGUAGACAAGGGCAAUCCAUUACAAAAUUCUUUGGUAAGGCUUUUUUGCCUUCAUUUCCAUUGAGUUAAAAAUGUCUUCCGACUCCAGGUCUUCUUUUUUUUUGCCACGGCCAAUAAACACAUCGCCUUAUCAAGUUGAA